This 504-nucleotide ribosomal RNA is filed under the name uncultured bacterium. RNAcentral describes it as "bacterial SSU rRNA". It matches the Rfam family "Bacterial small subunit ribosomal RNA", at positions 28 to 526 of the family's 1533-position model. The record is from RNAcentral.
GAUGAACGCUAGCGACAGGCUUAACACAUGCAAGUCGAGGGGCAGCACAGGGAGCAAUUCCGGGUGGCGACCGGCGCACGGGUGAGUAACGCGUAUGCAACCUGCCCAUAACCGAGGGAUAGCACUUUGAAAGGAGUAUUAAUACCUCAUAACACAGGGAUACCGCAUGGUAAUAUUUGUUAAAGAUUUAUUGGUUAUGGAUGGGCAUGCGUUCCAUUAGGUAGUUGGUAAGGUAAUAGCUUACCAAGCCAUCGAUGGAUAGGGGUUCUGAGAGGAAGGUCCCCCACACUGGUACUGAGACACGGACCAGACUCCUACGGGAGGCAGCAGUGAGGAAUAUUGGUCAAUGGGCGAGAGCCUGAACCAGCCAAGUCGCGUGAAGGACGACGGUAUUAUGUAUUGUAAACUUCUUUUGUACAGGAAUAAAGUUAGGGACGUGUCCCUAUUUGUAUGUACUGUACGAAUAAGCAUCGGCUAACUCCGUGCCAGCAGCCGCGGUAACAC